This 301-nucleotide ribosomal RNA is filed under the name uncultured bacterium. Its description in RNAcentral is "partial 16S ribosomal RNA". It matches the Rfam family "Bacterial small subunit ribosomal RNA", at positions 509 to 807 of the family's 1533-position model. The record is from RNAcentral.
CAGCAGCCGCGGUAAUACGGAGGGGGCUAGCGUUGUUCGGAAUUACUGGGCGUAAAGCGCACGUAGGCGGCUUGGUAAGUUAGAGGUGAAAGCCUGGAGCUCAACUCCAGAAUUGCCUUUAAGACUGCCGAGCUAGCAGGUGAGAGAGGUAAGUGGAAUUCCGAGUGUAGAGGUGAAAUUCGUAGAUAUUCGUAGGAACACCAGUGGCGAAGGCGGCUUACUGGCUCAUACUGGACGCUGAGGUGCGAAAGCGUGGGGAGCAAACAGGAUUAGAUACCCGCGUAGUCCCUGUCUCUUAUAC